CAGCCGCCGCGGUAAAACAGAGGGUGCGAGCGUUAAUCGGAUUUACUGGGCGUAAAGCGUGCGUAGGCGGCUAAUUGAGUCGGAUGUGAAAUCCCCGAGCUUAACUUAGGAAUUGCAUUCGAUACUGGGAAGCUAGAGUAUGGGAGAGGAUGGUAGAAUUCCAGGUGUAGCGGUGAAAUGCGUAGAGAUCUGGAGGAAUACCGAUGGCGAAGGCAGCCAUCUGGCCUAAUUCUGACGCUGAGGUACGAAAGCAUGGGGAGCAAACAGGAUUAGAUACCCCCGUAGUCCCUGUCUCUUAUAC
RNAcentral lists this ribosomal RNA (301 nucleotides) under uncultured bacterium. RNAcentral's name for it is "partial 16S ribosomal RNA". It matches the Rfam family "Bacterial small subunit ribosomal RNA", at positions 509 to 807 of the family's 1533-position model. The record is from RNAcentral.